ACCUGAUACAUAUAUGGGGAGCCGACAGCCCCCUAAGCCGAGAGCCAGCCGUGCAUACUGGCCUGUUAUUUUGCCUUUAUCUACAGUGCACAGGCUCCCUGCUUUAGCCUGGUAAGAAGGGCCAGGAUGGCAGACCUUCUGAAUUGUCUGCAAACCCACAAAGACAACCUGCUAGCUGUGAAAGGACUGUGCCAGAAGCUGCAUGGACAACAUCCUUCUCCAGUUCCUGGAAUCCUGCCAGCUGAUCGUCCCUGGAUGCAGUACCCAGCAGCAUCGAGGCAGAGAUCAUCCCACACCAGGAGAAAACCUGUUUCCCCCAGAGACUGGGAAGAUUCCUCAAUUCCUCUCAAGCCGGGAAGAUUCCAGCCCCACAAAGUACGAACACUGGGCACAGGCUGUGCAACAACCCCGGGAGGGUGAUUAUUAAUAAGAGCAACACUUGGGAGAUGUUCAAGUCCCACAGGCAUCUUCAUGGCUCUCCAUUGGACUCUCUCCAUCAGGCCACUGUCUCUCUUGAACUGGGGAGCCCAAAGCUGGAGACAGUAUUCCAGCUGUGAAGAGCUGUGAAAGACUUCUGAACAUUGAAGAUUUUAUUUACAGAUGCUUGCACAGAGCUACCUUCUCAAGAAUUUACACCUUCCAAAAUUGUGGGUUUAGCACGCCUGAACACAAAACUCAACAACAGCACAAACCCCAUCAUCUAAGAUCCCAGACACACAAGAUGACAGCUGCAUCUUAUUACAAUUUAUGAUUACCCUCCCACCCAUUUCAAUUUCAAAGCAAAAGGUUUUGAAUUGUUCUAUGAAGGACAAAUUCAGUAUGGUCAUACAUGAAUUUAAACAACAACUAAUGUCAACACCAAAGAUUCGUUACAAGCAGAUGCACCUGCUUGGUGAUAGCAGCGAGAAAAAAAUUGCAUGUGGUGACUAACAAGGUCCCAUUACAGAGUCAGCCAGCUAUAGAGAAUGAUAAUCCAUUGUUUUAAGUUGAGUUAGUCAGAAUAACAUGUAAAAUAACAGGGGGAAAAUGUGAAUUCUUGGAGACUCCACUGCAUCACAGGAUAACACUCCCACCUCCUCCAGAGGGAGAAUAGAAGGCAAGGAAGAGAAGAGAGAUGGAUCAACAUAAUAACUUGAAGAUUUGCUCAAGAACCAUCUUUGCAGAAACAUAAUUACGCAGAGACAAGGAUUCACAGUGUUAUUUAAAUGUAGAAUAGAAUCAACCAAGGGACACAGUCUUCUCUCCAUAAGAUUGUAAAUUAUUGCAAAUAGUCACUCAUAAGAGUCAGCUGGUGCAAAUUUGAAGUCUGGUGAUACAAACCACUACUUUGCUACACUCCUAUCCUAGUUAGGAUUAUUUUCCUUUUUUAAAUGGCAAAAACAUUUUGUGAGUAGCACAUUAGAAUAAAAUUUUAACCUC
Pogoniulus pusillus (Red-fronted tinkerbird) is the source of this 1419-nucleotide long non-coding RNA. RefSeq lists it as uncharacterized. NCBI's taxonomy places the organism in Eukaryota, Metazoa, Chordata, Aves, Piciformes, Lybiidae. The transcript is spliced from 3 exons. The record is from RefSeq and is a predicted model, not a curated record.